UACAGAGGUCUCGAGCGUUAGGCGGAAUCACUGGGCUUAAAGCGUGUGUAGGUGGAUUGGUAAGUACCUUGUGAAAUCCCACGGCUUAACCGUGGAACUGCUGGGUAUACUGCUAGUCUUGAGCCAGCUAGGGGCUACCGGAACAAAUGGUGGAGCGGUGAAAUGCGUAGAUAUCAUUUGGAACGCCAAAGGUGAAAACAGGUAGCUGGGGCUGUGCUGACACUGAGACACGAAAGCCAGGGGAGCAAACGGG
This 253-nucleotide ribosomal RNA is filed under the name uncultured bacterium. RNAcentral's name for it is "partial 16S ribosomal RNA". It matches the Rfam family "Bacterial small subunit ribosomal RNA", at positions 524 to 776 of the family's 1533-position model. The record is from RNAcentral.